This 465-nucleotide ribosomal RNA is filed under the name Vreelandella stevensii. RNAcentral's name for it is "partial 16S ribosomal RNA". It matches the Rfam family "Bacterial small subunit ribosomal RNA", at positions 338 to 795 of the family's 1533-position model. The record is from RNAcentral. Lineage: Bacteria; Pseudomonadati; Pseudomonadota; Gammaproteobacteria; Oceanospirillales; Halomonadaceae.
CCUACGGGGCGCAGCAGUGGGGAAUAUUGGACAAUGGGCGAAAGCCUGAUCCAGCCAUGCCGCGUGUGUGAAGAAGGCCUUCGGGUUGUAAAGCACUUUCAGUGGGGAAGAAAGCCUUGGGGCUAAUACCCUCGAGGAAGGACAUCACCCACAGAAGAAGCACCGGCUAACUCCGUGCCAGCAGCCGCGGUAAUACGGAGGGUGCGAGCGUUAAUCGGAAUUACUGGGCGUAAAGCGCGCGUAGGCGGUCUGAUAAGCCGGUUGUGAAAGCCCCGGGCUCAACCUGGGAACGGCAUCCGGAACUGUCAGGCUAGAGUGCAGGAGAGGAAGGUAGAAUUCCCGGUGUAGCGGUGAAAUGCGUAGAGAUCGGGAGGAAUACCAGUGGCGAAGGCGGCCUUCUGGACUGACACUGACGCUGAGGUGCGAAAGCGUGGGUAGCAAACAGGAUUAGAUACCCCGAUAGUC